AAUUCAUCGAUUUUGUGCCACGGGGGUGUGUUUGUUUCACCACACCUCCCCUCCCCGCUGAUGUGAUCAACGCCCCGUUGUUUGCCCACAUUGGGGGGCGGGGGGCUGCAUAUCUAUCCCAUUCUGGAGGCUCGUCCUUGGAACCUCAUUGGAAGUCACAUCACGGGGCUGCCCACAGGCGAAGGGCCCGGGGGGCGCGUGGCGCGUGUCAUUAGUUGUGUUUCAGUGCGGGGGGGGGGAGGAAUUGAGUUGUGCCGCGUUCCACUUUCUUUCUUUUUUUUCUUCUUCUUCUUCUUCUUCUGACACACUCCAGUAAUUAGGAAGCCAUAAGUGGAUUAAGCCGGAGGCGGCCCGAGGCGGUGCCGCGGCCGGGAAAUGUAUCUUCAAUCAGCGGCUGACGGCUCGAGCCGCGCUGACGCAGCGAGAGGACCGAGAUCAAUGGCAGAGGAACGAACUAUGGUGCGCGUGACGCUGGCGGAGGAGGAAGCAGAUGGCAGCAUGGCUACUUCACGUUUUCUUGCUGUAUCAUGGGAAACACGCCAGAAACUUCAUCCUGUUGAUCUUUCGACUCAUUUAUUUUUGAGGAUUCUAUUUCUAAGCUUUGAGCUAGAAAGGGAACGAAUUUGUCAGAUAGAUAUACAUCAUUAUCUUGACUGUUGUUGUCUUAGACACCCCAAACAGGUUGGGCAAUUGGGGUAAAUCAAUCAAUCGAACAAAAAUCAUAUAUUCAGGAUAAACAUCUUGUUUUCAAAGCCGGUAGCCAUUAAUAUUGUGAUAUUGAUUCAUAUCAUUAAAACAACUCAAUUAAUCA
Cyclopterus lumpus (lumpfish) is the source of this 811-nucleotide long non-coding RNA. RefSeq lists it as uncharacterized. NCBI's taxonomy places the organism in Eukaryota, Metazoa, Chordata, Actinopteri, Perciformes, Cyclopteridae. The record is from RefSeq and is a predicted model, not a curated record. The transcript is spliced from 2 exons.